This 380-nucleotide long non-coding RNA is filed under the name Nicotiana benthamiana. Its description in RNAcentral is "long non-coding RNA (NBEN_LNC036412)". The record is from RNAcentral. Lineage: Eukaryota; Viridiplantae; Streptophyta; Magnoliopsida; Solanales; Solanaceae.
GAAGUUAGUCAUUGGAGGGGACUUUAAUGGUCAUAUUGGGGCUGAUGCUGGUGGUUAUGGUGAGGUGCACGGUGGCUCCGGCUUUGGGGUUAGGAACGGAGGAGGCACGUCACUGCUUGAUUUCGCCAGGGCUUUCGAGCUUUUGAUUGCGAACUCGGCAUUUCAGAAGAGGGAGGAGCAUUUGGUCACCUUCAAGAGUUCGGCGGCGAGGACUCAGAUUGAUUACCUCCUCCUCAGAAGGAUGAUUGCGAACUCGACAUUUCAGAAGAUGGAGGAGCUUUUGGUCACCUUCAAGAGUUCGGCGGUGAGGACUCAGAUUGAUUACCUCCUAUUCAGAAGGAGCGAUAGAGGUAUGUGCAAGGACUGCAAGGUUAUUCCGG